This 370-nucleotide ribosomal RNA is filed under the name uncultured organism. RNAcentral describes it as "bacterial SSU rRNA". It matches the Rfam family "Bacterial small subunit ribosomal RNA", at positions 526 to 896 of the family's 1533-position model. The record is from RNAcentral.
CGUAGGGUGCAAGCGUUAAUCGGAAUUACUGGGCGUAAAGCGUGCGCAGGCGGUUUUGUAAGUCUGUCGUGAAAUCCCCGGGCUCAACCUGGGAAUUGCGAUGGAGACUGCAAGGCUAGAAUCUGGCAGAGGGGGGUAGAGUUCCACGUGUAGCAGUGAAAUGCGUAGAGAUGUGGAGGAACACCGAUGGCGAAGGCAGCCCCCUGGGUCAAGAUUGACGCUCAUGCACGAAAGCGUGGGGAGCAAACAGGAUUAGAUACCCUGGUAGUCCACGCCCUAAACGAUGUCUACUAGUUGUCGGGUCUUAAUUGACUUGGUAACGCAGCUAACGCGUGAAGUAGACCGCCUGGGGAGUACGGUCGCAAGAUUA